GACGGAGGAUGCAAGUGUUAUCCGGAAUCACUGGGCGUAAAGCGUCUGUAGGUGGUUCGAAAAGUCCACUGUUAAAGAUUGAGGCUUAACUUCAAAAAUGCCGUGGAAACUUUCAAACUAGAGUAUGGUAGGGGUAGAGGGAAUUUCCAGUGGAGCGGUGAAAUGCGUAGAGAUCGGGAGGAACACCAGUGGCGAAGGCGGCUACCUGGACCAGCACUGACACUGAGGCACGAAAGCGUGGGGAGCAAACAGGGA
This 255-nucleotide ribosomal RNA is filed under the name uncultured bacterium. RNAcentral describes it as "partial 16S ribosomal RNA". It matches the Rfam family "Bacterial small subunit ribosomal RNA", at positions 524 to 778 of the family's 1533-position model. The record is from RNAcentral.